The sequence is a ribosomal RNA, 944 nucleotides long. It matches the Rfam family "Eukaryotic large subunit ribosomal RNA", at positions 35 to 964 of the family's 3401-position model.
UAAGCAUAUCAAUAAGCGGAGGAAAAGAAACUAACAAGGAUUCCCCUAGUAACUGCGAGUGAAGCGGGAAAAGCUCAAAUUUAAAAUCUGGCAGUCUUUGACUGUCCGAGUUGUAAUCUAGAGAAGUGUUAUCCGCGCUGGACCGUGUACAAGUCUCCUGGAAUGGAGCGUCAUAGAGGGUGAGAAUCCCGUCUUUGACACGGACUGCCAGGGCUUUGUGAUGCGCUCUCAAAGAGUCGAGUUGUUUGGGAAUGCAGCUCAAAAUGGGUGGUAAAUUCCAUCUAAAGCUAAAUAUUGGCGAGAGACCGAUAGCGAACAAGUACCGUGAGGGAAAGAUGAAAAGAACUUUGGAAAGAGAGUUAAACAGUACGUGAAAUUGCUGAAAGGGAAACGCUUGAAGUCAGUCGCGUUGUCCAGGGAUCAACCUUGCUUUUGCUUGGUGCACUUUCUGGUUGACGGGUCAGCAUCAAUUUUGACCAUUGGAAAAAGAUUAGGGGAAUGUGGCAUCUUCGGAUGUGUUAUAGCCCUUGGUUGCAUACAGUGGUUGGGAUUGAGGAACUCAGCACGCCGCAAGGCCGGGUCUUGUACCACGUACGUGCUUAGGAUGCUGGCAUAAUGGCUUUAAUCGACCCGUCUUGAAACACGGACCAAGGAGUCUAACAUGCCUGCGAGUGUUUGGGUGGAAAACCCGAACGCGCAAUGAAAGUGAAAGUUGAGAUCCCUGUCGUGGGGAGCAUCGACGCCCGGACCAGACCUUUUGUGACGGUUCCGCGGUAGAGCAUGUAUGUUGGGACCCGAAAGAUGGUGAACUAUGCCUGAAUAGGGUGAAGCCAGAGGAAACUCUGGUGGAGGCUCGUAGCGAUUCUGACGUGCAAAUCGAUCGUCAAAUUUGGGUAUAGGGGCGAAAGACUAAUCGAACCAUCUAGUAAGCUGGUUCCUGCCGA